Molecule: long non-coding RNA, 226 nt
Filed under: Ananas comosus (pineapple)
Lineage: Eukaryota; Viridiplantae; Streptophyta; Magnoliopsida; Poales; Bromeliaceae
Description: long non-coding RNA (ACOM_LNC042776)
Source: RNAcentral
AAUCUCUCUCUCUCUCUAAUACAAUAAAAAAAAGAGUAAAUCAUCUAAGCUCAAAAGUAACUCCGCGCUAACUAGCUACGCGACUCCCUUGCUGCGAUCCCGUGCCUCCGCCGGUGCCGAAGGCUCUGAAAGAAACCAUAAAACAGAGGGUGUGAGAACUAUUAAAUAAUAGUUCCAAGUGGGCAAUUACUGACUUCAGUGAAAUGCGCCACUAGGCCCAAAAGCU